CUGUUUAUCAAAAACACAGGACUCUGCGAACACGUAAGUGGAUGUAUAGGGUCUGACGCCUGCCCGGUGCCGGAAGGUUAAGUGAUGGGGUCAGCCGCAAGGCGAAGCUCUUGAUCGAAGCCCCGGUAAACGGCGGCCGUAACUAUAACGGUCCUAAGGUAGCGAAAUUCCUUGUCGGGUAAGUUCCGACCUGCACGAAUGGCGUAACGCUGGCCACACUGUCUCGACCCGAGACUCAGUGAAGUUGAAAUCGCUGUGAAGAUGCGGCGUUCCCGCGGCAAGACGGAAAGACCCCGUGAACCUUCACUACAGCUUUACACUGAACUUUGAACCUUCUUGUGUAGGAUAGGUGGGAGGCUAUGAAGCCUGGGCGCUAGCUCAGGUGGAGCCAACCUUGAAAUACCACCCUGGAAUGUUCGAAGUUCUAACCUAGGUCCGUAUCCGGAUCGGGGACAGUGUAUGGUGGGUAGUUUGACUGGGGCGGUCUCCUCCCAAAGAGUAACGGAGGAGUGCAAAGGUACGCUCAGCGCGGUCGGUCAUCGCGCUCUAGAGUGCAAAGGCAUAAGCGUGCUUAACUGCGAGACGGACAGGUCGAGCAGGUACGAAAGUAGGUCUUAGUGAUCCGGUGGUUCUGUAUGGAAGGGCCAUCGCUCAACGGAUAAAAGGUACUCCGGGGAUAACAGGCUUAUUCCUCCCAAGAGUCCACAUCGACGGAGGAGUUUGGCACCUCGAUGUCGGCUCAUCACAUCCUGGGGCUGUAGCAGGUCCCAAGGGUAUGGCUGUUCGCCAUUUAAAGUGGUACGCGAGCUGGGUUCAGAACGUCGUGAGACAGUUCGGUCCCUAUCUGCCGUGGGCGUUGGAAACUUGAGGGUGAGCUGUCCUUAGUACGAGAGGACCGGGAUGGACGCACCUCUGGUGUUCCGGUUGUCACGCCAGUGGCACUGCCGGGUAGCUAUGUGCGGACGGGAUAAGCGCUGAAAGCAUCUAAGCGCGAAGCCCCCCCAAGAUUAGGUUUCCCUGGGAGCUCGACUCCCCUGAAGGGCCGUCGCAGACUACGACGUUGAUAGGCUGGGUGUGUAAGUGCAGUAAUGCAUUGAGCUAACCAGUACUAAUUGCCCGUGAGGCUUGACCAU
Molecule: ribosomal RNA, 1133 nt
Filed under: compost metagenome
Description: bacterial LSU rRNA
Rfam family: Bacterial large subunit ribosomal RNA
Source: RNAcentral